This 253-nucleotide ribosomal RNA is filed under the name uncultured bacterium. Its description in RNAcentral is "partial 16S ribosomal RNA". It matches the Rfam family "Bacterial small subunit ribosomal RNA", at positions 524 to 776 of the family's 1533-position model. The record is from RNAcentral.
UACGGGGGGGGCAAGCGUUGUUCGGAAUUACUGGGCGUAAAGGGCUCGUAGGUGGCCAACUAAGUCAGACGUGAAAUCCCUCAGCUUAACUGGGGAACUGCGUCUGAUACUGGAUGGCUUGAGUUUGGGAGAGGGAUGCGGAAUUCCAGGUGUAGCGGUGAAAUGCGUAGAUAUCGGGAGGAACACCUGAGGCGAAGGCGGGCUACUGGGCCGAUACUGACGCUGAUGCGCGAAAGCCAGGGGAGCGAACGGG